AUGCUGAGCUCAACCCCAUGCACCACGCCCAUCACGCAGCCCCGCUGCCGUCCUCUUCUUAUCCCCAGCCCUCCCGCGCCAAGCCGUGGCCACAAACGGCGGCUGGACCACCCACACGUCGGCGUCGGCCACGCCGUGUCACUCCACUCCUCGCGUCGCCAUUGGCCCAGGUCACCAGAGAAAGGGCACUGGCAAAAGCCAGCUACAUCCGCUUCGGAUCGGGGCCCUGGAAACCUGUGGAGCGGAAGCUCCGGCCAUGGCCAUCCCAUCCUCCUAUUUAGCCGCGAUCUCCCCCGCAUCCUGUCACUAACCAGUGAUCGGAUCGCACAAAAAGCUCCGAAAAGCAGAAGCAUGGCCCUCCCGUCGCCGGCCGGCAUCGCGAAGCCGAGGCUUCACCUUCUCUUCAACCACAGGCGCACCAGUUCGUCGUCUGUCACCUGCUGCAGCAACAACGGACGGUCGUCGUCGUCUGAGCCCGAGGACUGGGCAGCGCCGUCCGGAAACGCCGUCGACUGGCGCUCGUUCCGGGCGCGGCUCGUCCUCAAGGAGCAAUACGCGAAGAGCUUCAACCCGGCGCUCAGGGCGUCGUGGUCGCCGGCGGUGAAGGUCGCGGACAAGUGGGCGCACCCGCUGGUGGAGCCGGAGAAGGGGUGCCUCCUGAUCGCGACGGGGAAGCUGGACGGGUCGCACAUCUUUGAGCGCACCGUGAUUCUCCUGCUGUCGGCCGGGGUGCUGGGCCCCGUGGGCGUGAUCCUGAACCGUCCGUCGCUCAUGUCCAUCAAGGAGGCGCAGUCCCUCUUCGCGGAGAAGGCGGACAUCGCCGGCACCUUCUCCGGCCGCCCGCUCUUCUUCGGCGGCCCGUUGGAGGAGUGCUUCUUCCUGCUGGGGCCGCGGGAGGGCGGAGACGGCGACGGCGGCGACGUGAUGGGCCGGACGGGGCUGUUCGAGGAGGUGAUGCCGGGCGUGCACUACGGCACGCGGGAGAGCGUCGGGUGCGCGGUGGAGCUGGUUAAGCGCGGGGUCGCCGGCGUGCGGGACUUCCGCUUCUUCGACGGGUUCUGCGGGUGGGAGCGGGAGCAGCUGCGCGACGAGGUGCGCGCUGGGCUGUGGCGUGUCGCCGCCUGCAGCCCCGCCGUUCUCGGGCUCACCGGCAUCGGGGGCGGGCUCUGGGAGGAGGUGCAGCAGCUCGUCGGAAAGAGGAGGGUGUGGUGA
Molecule: ribosomal RNA, 1212 nt
Filed under: Triticum aestivum (bread wheat)
Lineage: Eukaryota; Viridiplantae; Streptophyta; Magnoliopsida; Poales; Poaceae
Description: partial small subunit ribosomal RNA
Source: RNAcentral